GCGGGCCCGGCGUGCGCCGCCUGGCGCGCCUGCACGCCGCCCGCCACGCGCACCACAACGGUGGCGAGUUGAUGGACGAGAAAGCUACAAGACUGACCGCUCACAUCAAGGCCAUGACAGCCGAAGUGAAAGCUGAUCCUUCGUGGGAAGGCGCGACCCCCGCUGUACUGGAAACAUUGGAGCUGACAGUGGAGCGCGCGGCGUUCUCGCGUCUGUACCUGCAAGUGCUGUUUCCCAAUGGAGACGGCGACAUCGCGAGG
Ostrinia nubilalis (European corn borer) is the source of this 260-nucleotide long non-coding RNA. RefSeq lists it as uncharacterized. The transcript has 3 exons. The record is from RefSeq and is a predicted model, not a curated record. NCBI's taxonomy places the organism in Eukaryota, Metazoa, Arthropoda, Insecta, Lepidoptera, Crambidae.